RNAcentral lists this ribosomal RNA (254 nucleotides) under uncultured bacterium. RNAcentral describes it as "partial 16S ribosomal RNA". It matches the Rfam family "Bacterial small subunit ribosomal RNA", at positions 524 to 776 of the family's 1533-position model. The record is from RNAcentral.
UACGUAGGGUGCAAGCGCUGUCCGGAAUUAUUGGGCGUAAAGAGCUCGUAGGCGGCUUGUCGCGUCGACUGUGAAAACCCGUGGCUCAACCAUGUGGUCUGCAGUCGAUACGGGCAGACUAGAGUUCGGUAGGGGAGACUGGAAUUCCUGGUGUAGCGGUGAAAUGCGCAGAUAUCAGGAGGAACACCGGUGGCGAAGGCGGGUCUCUGGGCCGAAACUGACGCUGAGGAGCGAAAGCGUGGGGAGCAAACAGG